GGCAGUGUAGUGUAGUGGUAUGGGCACUGGAUUAUGACUCUGGAGGCCAGGGUUCGAAUCCUAGCUUAGCCA
RNAcentral lists this transfer RNA (72 nucleotides) under Phrynosoma platyrhinos (Desert horned lizard). RNAcentral describes it as "tRNA-OTHER". It matches the Rfam family "tRNA". Rfam says of the family: Transfer RNA (tRNA) molecules are approximately 80 nucleotides in length. Their secondary structure includes four short double-helical elements and three loops (D, anti-codon, and T loops). Lineage: Eukaryota; Metazoa; Chordata; Lepidosauria; Squamata; Phrynosomatidae. The record is from RNAcentral.